AUGAUAUUCUUCUAACAGAGAUCGACAUUACGUACCUUUGAAUAAUGUUUAUCAUUUGUUGGUAAUUUUCUUGUGGUUUUCUCAUUGAGUCAAAGAUUAACAACCGGUUCUUGGGAAUUUCACUGACCAUGAGUAUCCAGUGAAAGCUGUUUACACACACAUAUAUAUAGUCAGGACUAUAACUAUAUAAAACUCGAAUCGAGUAAUAAUAACUUAAUAACUAUAUAACUCAUUCGAAGUUGUAGGGGAAGAGUAUUUUUUGUUUUUCUUUUUGGUUCACAAAGAACCUCAUAAGAUUGGUGCAGACUUCUGUCUCAUGAGAUGCUGUCCACACUGCCUGCGGAGCCUUGAGAACAAUAUAAGGGUCAACAAACCCAAUACUAUUGUCAUUUUUGCUUCUGAGCUCUCAUUUGGUGCCUGCAUAUAUACAUACAAAUUCUAAGUGUGUAAGGAUUAUAUACAUAUAAUUAAAGAAGGUAGAAGUUUAAUAUAAAGAAAAAAUACUUACACACAAAAGCAGCUAACGAGAGAUUUGUCGAGAGCGUCGAGGUGACAUAAUUGGUGCAAUUCUUCGAACUAGACGUAUAUGAGGUCAUCUCCACGGAAGUAGUGAUGUUGUUGAAUACGAACAGAAAUCUAAUUAUCUCCCCUUUUAGAUGCCUCCAUGCACCACUUGUUUAUUGCAAACAUUUGUGUGCCGAGCUCAUGUAAAUGUUGAGGGUUCAUUAGACUCCAGCCCGGUUCAUAUCUUGCCCUCCAUUGAUCAACUAACUCAGCUUUUUCAAAAGUUUGACAUCCAACAAUGGCGGCAAUGUCUUCAAUAUUUAGACCGCUCUGUCCAAAGUAAUGCUCAAGCAAAUCUAGCUCACACAAGAUUAAGGAUUUCUUUGGCAUCAAGUCUUCAUUUGAGCCGUAUUGAUUUGGCACA
RNAcentral lists this long non-coding RNA (928 nucleotides) under Sorghum bicolor (sorghum). RNAcentral describes it as "long non-coding RNA (SBIC_LNC010980)". The record is from RNAcentral. Lineage: Eukaryota; Viridiplantae; Streptophyta; Magnoliopsida; Poales; Poaceae.